GACGAACGCUGGCGGCGUGCUUAACACAUGCAAGUCGAACGGGCCUGCCUGGCUUUGGUUGGGUGGGUGAGUGGCGAACGGGUGAGUAACACGUGAGUAACCUGCCCUCUUCUCUUGGAUAACUGCUUGAAAGGGCGGCUAAUACGGGAUGUUCUGGCUGCCUCGCAUGGGGUGGUUUGGAAAGAUUCGGCCUGGUUUUGGUUGUUUUGGUGGGGGAUGGGCUCGCGGCUUAUCAGCUUGUUGGUGGGGUGAUGGCCUACCAAGGCGGUGACGGGUAGCCGGCCUGAGAGGGUGGACGGUCACACUGGGACUGAGACACGGCCCAGACUCCUCGGGAGGCAGCAGUGGGGGAUUUUGCACAAUGGGCGCAAGCCUGAUGCAGCGACGCCGCGUGAGGGAUGGAGGCCUUCGGGUUGUGAACCUCUGUCGCCGGUGAUGUAGGCUCUGCUUUGUGGGU
Molecule: ribosomal RNA, 457 nt
Filed under: Actinomyces sp. oral taxon 448
Lineage: Bacteria; Bacillati; Actinomycetota; Actinomycetes; Actinomycetales; Actinomycetaceae
Description: bacterial SSU rRNA
Rfam family: Bacterial small subunit ribosomal RNA
Source: RNAcentral